Molecule: long non-coding RNA, 414 nt
Organism: Pezoporus flaviventris
Lineage: Eukaryota; Metazoa; Chordata; Aves; Psittaciformes; Psittacidae
Exons: 3
Source: RefSeq, a predicted model, not a curated record
AUGACCUUUUUAUCCCCUUCCCUCGCUUCGCCCUCCAACCCCCCACCCCGUCCCUGCUUCCUUCCCUGCCCAGCACAGGGAGCCUGGGGCCAAUUGGCUCCUCCAUACGAUCAAAUGUCACUAUAAGUUGAGAGCUGCUCCACCUUGGGAGGCUCGCAGAUCCCAGCCUGCCUGUCCCCUUCAGCAGGGAGCUCGGUGCUUCUCUCUGUUCAUCCCAGAAACUCAUUGCCAACAUGUCUGAUACCGAGGAAGUGGAGCAAGGAGAGGGUAAGUCUUAAUUCUGUCUCUAAUUGCUUCCAUGCAAGCCUUCAGCAUUUGCUGGUCGUGUCCAUCUUCUCCUUUCUGCCCACUGUUGAGAUUUUAACAAAAAGUCUCACUACCGUUAGGCAAAUCAGAGUUUUCUCUGUGUAUGUU